This is a long non-coding RNA of Actinia tenebrosa (Australian red waratah sea anemone), 830 nucleotides long. RefSeq lists it as uncharacterized. The record is from RefSeq and is a predicted model, not a curated record. Lineage: Eukaryota; Metazoa; Cnidaria; Anthozoa; Actiniaria; Actiniidae.
GGCAGAGUCUAACCUUGAGGCCAUGAUCAGAGGACUGCUCUGGCGAUGAUGGCUGUCGGUAAGGAUACCAGGUAAUGGCUCUCUGCAGAUUUCAUGGGAGUGCGCUGAUGGCGUGAUUGCUGGCCACUGUGAAGUAAAAACUAUAAUUGAGCCAAAGACCUGGAACUAGAAAAUAUUGGGCUAGGAAAGAAGUGUUCGCUGACUGGCUAAUUCAAUCAGGCUAAGAGAAAAGAAAUCACCUGGUAAUGCAGGGCUUAAAAUAACAGCGUCAGACAAUGUCCAGCCAGAAUUAGAACCUGUCCAAUCAAAUCUUUCCCUUACUGGUCAAUUUGACCAGUAACUAUCACCCAGAAAUGAGGUUUGCUGUGGUUGACAACUGGAUUACAAUAUGCUUAAAGGAUACUUUGACUAGUCAUGAUUUGUAAGCUGUUUUUAUGUGCCUGAGUUAUGAUUUAAAUUUUUAAAGUAAAUUACUUGCAUUAAAGUAAGACUAUGCCCAACAAGGAGGCUACAUCACAAAACAAGUAACAUAACAAGUACUCUGAGAGUGAAACAAACUGGAAAUUGCAAUGGGCAGACUUUUAUGGAGUAAGACAUUCAAACCUGUUUUGUUGGAUACCAUUAGCAUUUGAGUUAGCCAUGAUGCCCUUACGAUAAACCCAAAAGCCGGUUUCUGGGUAUCAAUAAAAUUUGAAGGCUUUGAUUUGGCAAGCAACAGCAUUAACCCAUCAACAAACUGAAGUCAAAAAUAAUGUUAAAAUUGAAUGAGACCUUUUAAUUGAACCACAUUUUUUACCAUCCAAUCGUUGAUGACGCAAAUUCAAAAUUUA